UAUGCUGAAAGUUAUUAAGUACACUUGCUUUCCAAGCAAAAAGACCUAUAAACUAAGGUCAGCAUAAC
This 68-nucleotide transfer RNA is filed under the name Gibbosula rochechouartii. Its description in RNAcentral is "tRNA-Gly". The record is from RNAcentral. Lineage: Eukaryota; Metazoa; Mollusca; Bivalvia; Unionida; Margaritiferidae.